This is a long non-coding RNA of Zonotrichia leucophrys gambelii, 1801 nucleotides long. RefSeq lists it as uncharacterized. The transcript has 2 exons. The record is from RefSeq and is a predicted model, not a curated record. NCBI's taxonomy places the organism in Eukaryota, Metazoa, Chordata, Aves, Passeriformes, Passerellidae.
GUGGAUUGAUGGGAACUGGAGUCAGAUGGCUGCUGCAGGGACCAGGAUCAGUCAAUGCUUAGAGGAGUGGCCUGUGAGAAACAUCGAGGAGGCUGCUCGCACUUUCCUGAGGAAGGAACAUAUACAAGGGAAGAAAAACAGUGAAUUCAAGAGCAUGGAGCUGCUGAAAAACAAGGUUCUCUUCCCCCUCCCCUAUGAUAACAAUGCUGUGAGUAAAGCUUCAUCACCAGUGUUAUGUACAGCUAUUGCAGCACAGGGCUGUCAGCUCUGGUUAUUUAGAAACUCAGCAAAUGGAUUGCAUUACUUCUUCAAACAGUCUCCUGAAACCAGGCUGUUGAGCAGAACAGGAGGCACCAGUGCAGCUAGAGACUGUCACAUGGUUUGAAUUGAAGCAAUCAUCUUUCCUCCACUCCCCUUGCAGCAUCAAGGAGUGUCAGUGUUGGUGCUCAACCAGGGAAUUGAAAUGCAACAUAAACGUGCUGGUUUUUUUCUUUUGAGUGGAAGUUUGGAACUGUUCCGUUGGUCCAGGGUGGAAGUAAAAUAUUCAGUAAAGAAUAAGCCUCACAAAUACAAAACUAUAAAGUGAGACUGUAGCAUGCAGUGGGCAGUUUAACCUGUUUUUUUGGUUUCUACUGCAUCAUGGUAGUCUGUGAAAAGUUUGAAGUUUGUGAAAAUUCCAGUAGCAUUAUCAAGUCUGUUGCAUGGAAAUUCCUGUCAUUUUGUGGAGCAUUUGUAGUAAAUUACCAGACUCAGAGUACACAUUGGACUUGGAAUAUUUAAUUGGAAUAUUUAGUUCUUAUGAUGCUCUACUACCAUUAUGGGCCUUUUAAUAUUUCAUCAAUGACUUCCCACGUAUAAAAUGAAGCAGCAGGAAGAUAAAAUUCCUUUUGGCCAUAAGAGGGCAAUGGCUACAGAAAUCCAUCGUUCAGUAUAUAGGACCAACUUAAAAAUGAAUAUAAUGAUUUCUUUUUCACAACCUAAUUUUUAAUUGUUAAAUGUGUUCUAAACAACACUGGAAUUGCUGGCCCUAAAAUAUGUUCUGUGUGACCCAAAUACAGGACUGUUUAUAACUGGUUUAUAAAAGCUGUAGAUAUUUUGCUUCUGUGGGACUUCUGCGGUCAGUAGCACUUACCUGUACUGUUUGCUUUUGGUCUUCUGCUUAGGGAUUGUGUAGAGCCUAAAACAUUUAAAAAGUAAAGUUAAAUGGAAAGCAUCUGUUUGCUCAUAGUACCACCUUCUUACACUUUUAGUUUAUGAUUAAAGAUGUGAGAAAACCACUGCAUAUAAAAUCCUUUGGUAUCACAUUGCUGCCAGUGCUGUCUACAUGCUGCCUUUACAAGCUUCUUUUCCAGUCCACAGAUUGGCAGAUAUAGUUUGUCCUUUUCAGUGUCAGUGACAAGAGCUGGUGGGUAUGAAAUAUGACCAUGUUUGUGUUUGGAAAAAGUCAAGUAUUUUUUGCUUAGAGAAUUUUUAUUCUCAAGUGAAAAUGAGAAGAAAGCUGAGUUAAGAAUAAUAGAAAUAAUUCUUGAGUUUUAAAAGCAUGAACACCACCUUAUUAAAAAAACAUUUCCUACAGAGUAAAACCCGAGUAUACCUUCCUUUUAUUGCUCUGGUGAUGCAUGGCACUUUCUUUCCCUAAUGAUACACUUUGUUCCCUCCAUAGCCUUACACUGUUCUCAUAAUGCAUGGUGCUGCAAUUUCUUUCCCCAAUGACACACUUUUGUACUGACUUAUUCAUGGCAGAAUAUGAUGUAGAAUACAAUUUUAUAUUUAUGAAUAAAAGUCAAGUUUUAAUUCUUCA